Molecule: transfer RNA, 72 nt
Filed under: Camelus bactrianus (Bactrian camel)
Lineage: Eukaryota; Metazoa; Chordata; Mammalia; Artiodactyla; Camelidae
Also listed under: 3 other names
Rfam family: tRNA
About the family: Transfer RNA (tRNA) molecules are approximately 80 nucleotides in length. Their secondary structure includes four short double-helical elements and three loops (D, anti-codon, and T loops). Further hydrogen bonds mediate the characteristic L-shaped molecular structure. tRNAs have two regions of fundamental functional importance: the anti-codon, which is responsible for specific mRNA codon recognition, and the 3' end, to which the tRNAs corresponding amino acid is attached (by aminoacyl-tRNA synthetases). tRNAs cope with the degeneracy of the genetic code in two manners: having more than one tRNA (with a specific anti-codon) for a particular amino acid; and 'wobble' base-pairing, i.e. permitting non-standard base-pairing at the 3rd anti-codon position.
Source: Rfam by way of RNAcentral
GAGGGUUUAGCUCAGUGGUAGAGCAUGUGUUUAGCAUGUACAAGGUCCUGAGUUCAGUCCCCAGUACCUCCU